AUGCAGAGCCUGACAGGGGAUGUCAUCUCUCGCGCCGCAUUUGGCAGCAGCUACCUGGAGGGCCGGAGGGUCUUCCAGCUUCAGGGGGAGCAGCUUGAGCUCGUCCUGCUCGCCAUGAGCAAGAUGCACAUCCCUGGUUAUUUCUUCUUGCCAACAAGAGCCAACCGAAGGAUGAAGCAGAUCGCCGCCGACAUCGAGAGGGUCCUCAAGGGCAUCGUCGCCAAGAGAGAGAACGCCAUGAGAGCCGGCGAGGCCACGAGCGACGACCUUCUCGGGCUGCUGCUGGAGUCUAACAUGGCGGCGCACUGCAGGGAUGAUUCGAAGGGCGCCGGCAUGGGCAUCACGACCGACGACGUGAUCGGGGAGUGCAAGCUGUUCUACUUCGCCGGCGCGGAGACCACGUCGGUGCUGCUCACGUGGACGCUGAUCCUGCUCUGCAUGCACCCGGAGUGGCAGGACCGGGCCAGGGAGGAGGUCCUGCAAGCCUUCGGCGCCGCCGGCACGCCGGGCUGA
Molecule: ribosomal RNA, 513 nt
Filed under: Triticum aestivum (bread wheat)
Lineage: Eukaryota; Viridiplantae; Streptophyta; Magnoliopsida; Poales; Poaceae
Description: partial small subunit ribosomal RNA
Source: RNAcentral